Molecule: ribosomal RNA, 253 nt
Filed under: uncultured bacterium
Lineage: Bacteria
Description: partial 16S ribosomal RNA
Rfam family: Bacterial small subunit ribosomal RNA
Source: RNAcentral
UACGGGGGGGGCAAGCGUUGUUCGGAAUUACUGGGCGUAAAGGGCUCGUAGGUGGCCAACUAAGUCAGACGUGAAAUCCCUCAGCUUAACUGGGGAACUGCGUCUGAUACUGGAUGGCUUGAGAUUGGGAGAGGGAUGCGGAAUUCCAGGUGUAGCGGUGAAAUGCGUAGAUAUCUGGAGGAACACCGGUGGCGAAGGCGGCAUCCUGGACCAACACUGACGCUGAGGAGCGAAAGCCAGGGGAGCAAACGGG